AUGGGGGAGACCACCUUCCCCUACUGGGCCCCCGAGGGCUGCUGCCUCGAGGUUAUAGAAACAAUCCUCUUCCUGGUUACCUUGAUCAUCAUCCUGCAGCUGGCCGUCAGCCUGGCCCCGGCGAUCUGCUAUUAUGUCUGCUGCAUCAUUAGAUCUUUAUACAGAAGCAUUAUGGCCACAGUCUUAUCAGGGCAGUGUUCCCAUCAGGACCUCGCUCACCGGCGGCGCCGGGAAAGGAGCCGUUCCCCACCCUGCCACUGCCUCCUGUGCAUUCCUGAACCCAUCCAUCUUACCAUGAAUGUCCAGAAUGAGGAGGCUCACCGGGCUGGGAGGCGCCCUUACCCUGACUUCCUGCCAUGCCACCCGCCCCGCUAUUACCAUCCUUGUGACUGCGAAAACCGGUCCCGUCCGCGUACCGCCUUGGCCCCUGCGGGUUAUGCUCCCAUCGUUUGCUGCCGGGACGUGGCCGUCGGCACCUCCGAGCCCAUGUUAUAUCCGGGCAGCCAGGAACGCCGGAAUGACAUGGCAGUGGGCACCGAAUUCUACCCCCGGACGCAGGUGGGGGAGACUCACUACCGCCUAUUAGGGCCCAGCCAUGAUGCUGAAUACACAGGAGGACCCCCGCCACGCUCCCAUCGGCCCACCAAAGUUUACAUCUACCCGGUGCACCCCCAGACGCCCCCCGGGAGCAGAUCGGCUAGCCCGGAGAGGCUCCACCGGCGUCGGGGAGCCACAACCGGCAGCCAGGAAGAUCAGCAGCAGGAAUUUGAGACCCAAGAGCCGCGUCGCAAGGCCCGGGAGCCGGAGCAGCACGCCAGAGGGGCCCCGCCGCGCUUCCACACUGUUGCCACCAGCGUCCUCCAAAGGGCCGCCCAAACCGAGGCCUCGGGCCCCAAGCAGCAGCAUCCUUGGUCCGAGGCACCGGCCGACUCGGAUUGGUUCUAUCGGCCCCUGUAGAUUGCCCCCCUGUCACCCUGGCAGGCCAAAAAAUAAAAAAAUAAAAAAGAGGGGUCCCCGCGACA
This 1022-nucleotide long non-coding RNA is filed under the name Pogona vitticeps (central bearded dragon). RNAcentral describes it as "lncRNA (ENSPVIG00000015850.1)". The record is from RNAcentral. Lineage: Eukaryota; Metazoa; Chordata; Lepidosauria; Squamata; Agamidae.